RNAcentral lists this ribosomal RNA (484 nucleotides) under uncultured bacterium. RNAcentral's name for it is "partial 16S ribosomal RNA". It matches the Rfam family "Bacterial small subunit ribosomal RNA", at positions 29 to 507 of the family's 1533-position model. The record is from RNAcentral.
AUUGAACGCUGGCGGAAUGCUUUACGCAUGCAAGUCGAGCGGCAGCGCGGCCUUCGGGCUGGCGGCGAGCGGCGAACGGGUGAGUAAUGCAUCGGAACAUGCCCAGUCGUGGGGGAUAACACUUCGAAAGAAGUGCUAAUACCGCAUACGUCCUGAGGGGGAAAGCGGGGGAUCGCAAGACCUCGCGCGAUUGGAGUGGCCGAUGUCAGAUUAGCUAGUUGGGGGGGUAAAGGCCUACCAAGGCGACGAUCUGUAGCUGGUCUGAGAGGAUGAUCAGCCACACUGGGACUGAGACACGGCCCAGACUCCUACGGGAGGCAGCAGUGGGGAAUUUUGGACAAUGGGGGCAACCCUGAUCCAGCCAUUCCGCGUGAGUGAAGAAGGCCUUCGGGUUGUAAAGCUCUUUCGGCAGGAACGAAACGGUGGGCUCUAACAUAGUCCGCUAAUGACGGUACCUGAAGAAGAAGCACCGGCUAACUACGUG